RNAcentral lists this ribosomal RNA (406 nucleotides) under uncultured bacterium. Its description in RNAcentral is "bacterial SSU rRNA". It matches the Rfam family "Bacterial small subunit ribosomal RNA", at positions 355 to 776 of the family's 1533-position model. The record is from RNAcentral.
CAGGGAAUCUUGCGCAAUGGGCGAAAGCCUGACGCAGCGACGCCGCGUGGGGGAUGAAGGCCUGCGGGUUGUAAACCCCUUUUCGAGGGGAAGAAGUUCUGACGGUACCCUCGGAAUAAGCCUCGGCUAACUACGUGCCAGCAGCCGCGGUGAUACGUAGGAGGCAAGCGUUGUCCGGAUUUACUGGGCGUAAAGGGAGCGCAGGCGGCCGGGUCCGUCGGUGGUUUAAACUCCAGGCUCAACUUGGAGAGGUCCACCGAUACCACCUGGCUUGAGGGCGGUAGAGGAGCACGGAAUUCCUGGUGUAGUGGUGAAAUGCGUAGAUAUCAGGAGGAACACCAGAGGCGAAAGCGGUGCUCUGGGCCGUCCCUGACGCUCAGGCUCGAAAGCGUGGGGAGCAAACCGG